RNAcentral lists this ribosomal RNA (252 nucleotides) under uncultured bacterium. RNAcentral describes it as "partial 16S ribosomal RNA". It matches the Rfam family "Bacterial small subunit ribosomal RNA", at positions 524 to 776 of the family's 1533-position model. The record is from RNAcentral.
UACGUAGGGGGCUAGCGUUAUCCGGAAUUACUGGGCGUAAAGGGUGCGUAGGUGGUUUCUUAAGUCAGAGGUGAAAGGCUACGGCUCAACCGUAGUAAGCCUUUGAAACUGGGAAACUUGAGUGCAGGAGAGGAGAGUGGAAUUCCUAGUGUAGCAGUGAAAUGCGUAGAUAUUAGGAGGAACACCAGUUGCGAAGGCGGCUCUCUGGACUGUAACUGACACUGAGGCACGAAAGCGUGGGGAGCAAACAGG